Molecule: long non-coding RNA, 417 nt
Organism: Gallus gallus (chicken)
Lineage: Eukaryota; Metazoa; Chordata; Aves; Galliformes; Phasianidae
Source: Ensembl
GAAGAACUUGCUGCUGAAAAGGAAUCUGAAUACAGUAGUAGCUGGAAUCGUAUUGCUCCGCUAUGUUGUAUAUCCCCUAAGUCAUGCUUGGGUAUUUCUUUCAGCACAAAACUGGAAACUGCUAGAACUGCUUUUGUCUUCUGCUACCUGUACACUGAACACCAAGUCUGAAGAAGAUGAAGGAACUGUUCCCACAUUCCUUUUUGUAUUUGUACUCAGUUCUGUGUAAUUUAUCGAUAAAUCUGCUUGCAGCUCCUGGUAACAACGCAUACUUUGCCUAGCACAGAACUCGGCCUAGCACGAUAGCUACAGAGCCCUCUCUGGCCAUAAUUCCUGGCAAGCAUCUUAAGGAAGUGUAUGCUUGCAAUUAGCUGAUAGAUCAAAUCAAUGUCAAAAUCGAAAAUCUAUUUGCAGCAG